This 466-nucleotide ribosomal RNA is filed under the name uncultured bacterium. Its description in RNAcentral is "partial 16S ribosomal RNA". It matches the Rfam family "Bacterial small subunit ribosomal RNA", at positions 28 to 507 of the family's 1533-position model. The record is from RNAcentral.
GACGAACGCUGGCGGUGUGCUUAACACAUGCAAGUCGAACGGUAAGGCCCUUUCGGGGGUGCACGAGUGGCGAACGGGUGAGUAACACGUGAGUAACCUGCCCUCAUCUCUGGGAUAACAGUCGGAAACGGUUGCUAAUACUGGAUAUGAGCUUGCAAGGCAUCUUGUGGGUUGGAAAGAUUUUUUUGGUUGGGGAUGGACUCGCGGCCUAUCAGCUUGUUGGUGAGGUAGUGGCUCACCAAGGCUUCGACGGGUAGCCGGCCUGAGAGGGCGACCGGCCACAUUGGGACUGAGAUACGGCCCAAACUCCUACGGGAGGCAGCAGUGGGGAAUAUUGCACAAUGGACGGAAGUCUGAUGCAGCAACGCCGCGUGCGGGAUGACGGCCUUCGGGUUGUAAACCGCUUUCAAUUGUGACGAAGCUUUUUGUGACGGUAGCAGUAGAAGAAGCACCGGCUAACUACGUG